AAGCAGGGGAUCGUAAGACCUUGCGCUUUUGGAGUGGCCGAUGCCUGAUUAGCUAGUUGGUGUGGUAAGGGCCUACCAAGGCAACGAUCAGUAGUUGGUCUGAGAGGACGACCAGCCACACUGGGACUGAGACACGGCCCAGACUCCUACGGGAGGCAGCAGUGGGGAAUUUUGGACAAUGGGCGAAAGCCUGAUCCAGCAAUGCCGCGUGAGUGAAGAAGGCCUUCGGGUUGUAAAGCUCUUUCAGUCGAGAAGAAAAGGUUGUGACUAAUAAUCACAACUUAUGACGGUACCGACAGAAGAAGCACCGGCUAACUACGUGCCAGCAGCCGCGGUAAUACGUAGGGUGCGAGCGUUAAUCGGAAUUACUGGGCGUAAAGGGUGCGCAGGCGGCUUUGUAAGUCAGAUGUGAAAUCCCCGGGCUUAACCUGGGAAUUGCGUUUGAAACUACAAAGCUUAGA
Molecule: ribosomal RNA, 461 nt
Filed under: uncultured ammonia-oxidizing beta proteobacterium
Lineage: Bacteria; Pseudomonadati; Pseudomonadota; Betaproteobacteria
Description: bacterial SSU rRNA
Rfam family: Bacterial small subunit ribosomal RNA
Source: RNAcentral